RNAcentral lists this ribosomal RNA (1022 nucleotides) under Vibrio jasicida. Its description in RNAcentral is "bacterial SSU rRNA". It matches the Rfam family "Bacterial small subunit ribosomal RNA", at positions 81 to 1099 of the family's 1533-position model. The record is from RNAcentral. Lineage: Bacteria; Pseudomonadati; Pseudomonadota; Gammaproteobacteria; Vibrionales; Vibrionaceae.
GUUAAGGGCGUCGAGCGGCGGACGGGUGAGUAAUGCCUAGGAAAUUGCCCUGAUGUGGGGGAUAACCAUUGGAAACGAUGGCUAAUACCGCAUGAUGCCUACGGGCCAAAGAGGGGGACCUUCGGGCCUCUCGCGUCAGGAUAUGCCUAGGUGGGAUUAGCUAGUUGGUGAGGUAAUGGCUCACCAAGGCGACGAUCCCUAGCUGGUCUGAGAGGAUGAUCAGCCACACUGGAACUGAGACACGGUCCAGACUCCUACGGGAGGCAGCAGUGGGGAAUAUUGCACAAUGGGCGCAAGCCUGAUGCAGCCAUGCCGCGUGUGUGAAGAAGGCCUUCGGGUUGUAAAGCACUUUCAGUCGUGAGGAAGGUGGUGUAGAUAAUAGCUGCAUUAUUUGACGUUAGCGACAGAAGAAGCACCGGCUAACUCCGUGCCAGCAGCCGCGGUAAUACGGAGGGUGCGAGCGUUAAUCGGAAUUACUGGGCGUAAAGCGCAUGCAGGUGGUUUGUUAAGUCAGAUGUGAAAGCCCGGGGCUCAACCUCGGAAUAGCAUUUGAAACUGGCAGACUAGAGUACUGUAGAGGGGGGUAGAAUUUCAGGUGUAGCGGUGAAAUGCGUAGAGAUCUGAAGGAAUACCGGUGGCGAAGGCGGCCCCCUGGACAGAUACUGACACUCAGAUGCGAAAGCGUGGGGAGCAAACAGGAUUAGAUACCCUGGUAGUCCACGCCGUAAACGAUGUCUACUUGGAGGUUGUGGCCUUGAGCCGUGGCUUUCGGAGCUAACGCGUUAAGUAGACCGCCUGGGGAGUACGGUCGCAAGAUUAAAACUCAAAUGAAUUGACGGGGGCCCGCACAAGCGGUGGAGCAUGUGGUUUAAUUCGAUGCAACGCGAAGAACCUUACCUACUCUUGACAUCCAGAGAACUUUCCAGAGAUGGAUUGGUGCCUUCGGGAACUCUGAGACAGGUGCUGCAUGGCUGUCGUCAGCUCGUGUUGUGAAAUGUUGGGUUAAGUCCCGCAACGAGCGC